Molecule: ribosomal RNA, 407 nt
Filed under: uncultured bacterium
Lineage: Bacteria
Description: partial 16S ribosomal RNA
Rfam family: Bacterial small subunit ribosomal RNA
Source: RNAcentral
GACGCACGCUGGCGGCGUGCCUAAUACAUGCAAGUAGAACGCAGUUGCGAACGGGUGAGUAACGCGUAGGUAACUGCCUCAUAGCGGGGGAUAACUAUUGGAAACGAUAGCUAAUACCGCAUACUGUGAGAUGGACCUGCUUUGUAUUAGCUAUUUGGUGAGGUAAAGGCUCACCGAGGCGACGAUACAGAGCCGACCAGAGAGGGGGAUCGGCGCCACGGGGACUGAGACACGGCCCAGAAACCUACGGGAGCCAGCAGUAGGGAAUCUUCGGGAAUGGAGGGAAGUCUGACCGAGCACCGACGCGUGAGUGAAGAAGGUUUUCGGAUCGUAAAGCUCUGUUGUUAGAGAAGCGGUAACUAAACAGAGAGGGACGGCUAACUACGUGCCAGCAGCCGCGGUAAUAC